AUUGAACGCUGGCGGCAUGCCUUACACAUGCAAGUCGAACGGUAACGAGCCUUCGGGUGCCGACGAGUGGCGAACGGGUGAGUAAUACAUCGGAACGUGCCCGAUCGUGGGGGAUAACGAGGCGAAAGCUUUGCUAAUACCGCAUACGAUCUACGGAUGAAAGCAGGGGACCGCAAGGCCUUGCGCGGACGGAGCGGCCGAUGGCAGAUUAGGUAGUUGGUGGGAUAUAAGCUUACCAAGCCGACGAUCUGUAGCUGGUCUGAGAGGAUGAUCAGCCACACUGGGACUGAGACACGGCCCAGACUCCUACGGGAGGCAGCAGUGGGGAAUUUUGGACAAUGGGCGCAAGCCUGAUCCAGCCAUGCCGCGUGCAGGAUGAAGGCCUUCGGGUUGUAAACUGCUUUUGUACGGAACGAAAAGCCUUCUUUUAAUACAGGAGGGUCAUGACGGUACCGUAAGAAUAAGCACCGGCUAACUACGUG
RNAcentral lists this ribosomal RNA (482 nucleotides) under uncultured bacterium. Its description in RNAcentral is "partial 16S ribosomal RNA". It matches the Rfam family "Bacterial small subunit ribosomal RNA", at positions 30 to 507 of the family's 1533-position model. The record is from RNAcentral.